Molecule: ribosomal RNA, 496 nt
Filed under: uncultured bacterium
Lineage: Bacteria
Description: partial 16S ribosomal RNA
Rfam family: Bacterial small subunit ribosomal RNA
Source: RNAcentral
GAUGAACGCUGGCGGCGUGCCUAAUACAUGCAAGUCGAGCGAACAGACUAGGAGCUUGCUCCUCUCUCGCUAGCGGCGCACGGGUGAUUAACACGUGGAUAACCUACCUAUAAGACUGGGAUAACUUCGAGAAACGUGAGCUAAUACCGGAUAAUAUAUUGAACCGCAUGGUUCUAUAGUGAUAGACGGUGUUCCUGUCACGUAUAGAUGGAUCCCGGCAGCAUUAUCUAGUUGGUAAGUGAACGGCUUACCAUGGCGACGAUGCCUAGCCGACCUGAGAGGGUGAACGGCCCCUCUGGAGCUGAGAGACGGUCCAGCCUCAUACGGGAGGCAGGGGUAGGAACUCUUACGCAAUGGGCGAAAGUCUGAAGGAGCAACGGCGCGUGAGUGAUGGAGGUCUUCGGAUCGUAAAACUCUGUUAUUCGGGCAGACCAAAUGUGCCAGUAACUAUGCCAGUCUUGACGGUACCUAGUAAGAAGGCCACGGUGAACUACUU